Molecule: small RNA, 46 nt
Filed under: Arabidopsis thaliana (thale cress)
Lineage: Eukaryota; Viridiplantae; Streptophyta; Magnoliopsida; Brassicales; Brassicaceae
Description: ATSL298940
Source: RNAcentral
AAAGACUUUAAGUUAAGGGCGAGGUUCAAACGAGGAAAGGCUUGCG